This 417-nucleotide ribosomal RNA is filed under the name uncultured archaeon. RNAcentral's name for it is "partial 16S ribosomal RNA". It matches the Rfam family "Archaeal small subunit ribosomal RNA", at positions 330 to 747 of the family's 1478-position model. The record is from RNAcentral.
GCGCAGCAGGCGCGAAAACUUCGCAAUACGCGCAAGCGUGACGAGGGAACCCCAAGUACUCUUGCUUUUUGCAGGAGUUUUUGCCAAGUGUAAACAGCUUGGAGAAUAAGGGCGGGGUAAGACCGGUGCCAGCCGCCGCGGUAACACCGGCCGCCCAAGUGGUGACCGCUAUUAUUGGGCCUAAAGCGUCCGUAGCCGGUCCAGUAAGUCUUUGGGUAAAUCCUACUGCUUAACGGUAGGAAUUCUGGAGAUACUGCUGGACUUGGAGCGGGGAGAGGGGGAAGGUACUCCGGGGGUAGGGGGGAAACCCUAAAAGCCUAGGGGGACCGCCAGUGGCGAAGGCGUUCGACUAGAACAGGCUUGACGGUGAGGGACGAAAGCCAGGGGCGCGAACCGGAUUAGAUACCCGCGUAGUCC